Molecule: long non-coding RNA, 6111 nt
Filed under: Nicotiana tabacum (common tobacco)
Lineage: Eukaryota; Viridiplantae; Streptophyta; Magnoliopsida; Solanales; Solanaceae
Description: long non-coding RNA (NTAB_LNC012598)
Source: RNAcentral
CAGGGUCCACACAAGACCAAAAUUGUCUCAUAAACUCUCCUAAAACACGGUUGUCACAACUAAUCACAAGCAUCUAAUAAGAGUAUAGAGAUCUGAAUUGAAUAGAAGGUCUGCCCGAAAAUGACGAAGAUACAAAGACAAAUAUAAAGAGUAGGGAAGAGGGACUCCAUGUGCCGCAAAUCAUAUCAAGUAAGCAGCUUAUCACGAAAUUUCCUAAAGGCACUCCUACUCUGCUAGGUGAAUACCUCCAAAACGAGUCGUCUUAGAAUCUGCACAAAAAUGUAUAGAAGUGUAAUAUGAGUACAAAACCACGGUAUUCAAUAAGUAUCUAAUCUAACAUCAAAGAAGUAGUUGCAAGCAGUCAAUAGUCGGACGUACUAACAUUUUAAUCCUCCGAUUUUGUGUGCUUUCAUUUCUGAAUUUGAAUGCACUCAAUUUAUGUAGCGGUGAAGUGACAAAUAUUUUUACUCAAAAUCGGAUGGAUCGAGGUAUUCUAAGAAACAAUGUAUCUUUAGUUACAACUUAAUGUCUCCAAGAUAUAUAAUUGAAAUGCUACUGAGUUUCUAUUCUUGUCUUUUUUCCUUAACUUUUAUUAUAGUAAUAUUUUGUGGUACUAUAUAAUCAUUUGAAUUCUUCUAUGUCUUGGGCUAAAAAAUAUAAAGUGCAUGAAUAAAAGUGAGUGUGGGCGUUGUUCCUGAAAGUCGCCAUGCAUAUAUAUCUCAACGUUUUACCCAAAUAAUAAUUUUGACAAUGAAAAUGUCAUAUGGACAUUCUAAGGGAUGAAUCAAGAAAACAUAUGUACGAGAGAAGUUAUAUGAUUUUAACAGUAACAAAUUCUCCAAGUCAUUACCCAAGAAGAAAGUAACAAUCAGGUUCUAACUUUAAAAGCAUGAAGUUCAUAAUUAAAAAACUAAAUAUUAAAAUAUCUUUCUUUUAUUUACCUAGAUAAUAUCUGAAGAGUUGCCACCAUUUUAUGUGACUGAUAUAGAUGUCUCUUAUGCUUCUACCACAUCCGUAGUAUAUUCAAAUUCUGUAUUUUCACAAGUCACUUUUUAACUUCUUUCACUAUUUCUUCACUUUAUGAAAAGACAUGCUUUCAUUUUCUAAGUACACAUCUUCAUGACUAAAGUCAAAAAAUUACAUUGCCUCUUAUAUUGUUGUUUUAUCUACGAUCGAUCAGUAUGGUAACCUUAUUGGGUUCAUCCACUGAUGAAAUAUCUGCAAAGCUUGUACGCAUGUGUUUUUUAAAUACAAUUAUUGAACUUUUUCCGAAUUUGUUUAUCAGAUAUUUUAAUAUUCAUUUACGUGCUCUUUUAAAUUUUGUGGUCAUAGUGCAUGUUUGACGUGCUCUUCUCAUUUUCAAAUGUUUGCUUUCUUUAACUUUGAUCUAUUUGCACUUCUAUUUUGGUUUGUUUCAAAGUUUCUCCAGUCGCGUUUCACUUUAUUAUGAAAUCUGCAAUAUUAUAUUUUUUUUAGUUUACCUUUAUUCUUUAUUUGCUUAUCGCUCUAUCUGUGUGUUAAUUUUUAUGUUCUUUUAUGUUGAUUUAUUGGUCGAUUUUGUACAACAAAAGGAGUAGCUGACAAGUUUAAUCAUCUUGUGGAGUUCUAGAAAAGUGUUGACGUCAUAGAUGGCAGUCUAAAUAAUUUCUCAAAAUUAAGAGUUCCGACACUUCUGUGCCAUACUUUUUGUUUUGUGGAAAUACAUUCUCCCACGAGUUAUUCAAUCUUUUUUUCUUCGAUAUGUGGAUUAAUUUCGCAUGAAAACAAAUCUCAUAAGAGAGAAUACAUGAGUCGGGAAUCAGGAUUGAAGAUAUAGACUCAUUAAUCAUUAAAUAUCAAGAAAAUAUUCUUUGAAUUUACAUAGUAAAUACAAGAUCAAGUUUAGUUUCUGCUACUGCAACAAUCUGCAUCCUAUAAAUAUUUCCUUGUUGAAUUUAAGUUGUCUUUAUCUGAGUUCCAUUUAGUUAAACAAAUAAACUGGGAGAGAAAGAAGAGCUCCUUGAUAUGAUAACUAUAUUGAGAAAAAAGGACCAUGAUCAUUUGACGAAGAUAUCAAGCUCUCGAAUCUUAUUGAUAAAAUAUGAUAUCAAGUAAUUUUUAAUAGUACAUAGGCAUACUUGGACUUUUUGUCAUAAUUAUAUCUUACUUGAUUACUUACAUUUCAUUUACUAGAUAAAGAAUGACUCAUUACACAAUUCAACCUUUCAUAAUCAGUAAUAAAAUUUGAACUCUAGCCAACACUUAUCUACGUAUAAAUAUGUGUAUAUGGUGAAGUUAAGAUUUUGACAUUGAAUGUACAUCAAACUAUAAAAAGGAGGUUUGACAUUUAGAAAAGAGAUUGGUCUUGAGAAGAUAAUUAUGUUGAGGCAGAAAUAAUAUUUGUGAUCGCUGAAGGUUAUAGAGAAGAUAAAAUUGAUCAAAGAAUAUUGCUUCCUGCAUUGCCUAUUGGAGCAAUCAAACCUCAAAACAGGGAUAUACCAAAGUUUAAUUGAAAGUGUGCAAUAGAGACAAAGUUGAUUGGAGAAUAUGCCUUUUGACUUUGUUCAUCAAAUGUCUUAAGGUUAGGCGAUAAUGCGGGUUUUUGGUAUAUUUAAAAUUUUAAUUUAUAACUAACUUAAAUAUUUUUUCGAAUAUGCAUGUAUAUUAUUAACUAUUUUUGGCAUAUAUGUUAUUUACUAAUUUGUGUAUUCUAUGACUCGGUAUACACGUGCAAUGCAUGUGCGGAGAAACUAGUAAUCAUAAGAGGCAUAAACAACAUAUGGGAAGUGAGCGGAGAAGUUAUACCUCAUUUUCUUUACCUUCACACUCAGAUUGAUGUUUUCUCUGAUGAAAACUAGAGAAGCAAAAUCAGAAGGCAGUGAUAAAAGCACAAGCAAGUCACCCAAGUAAAAGGAUCUUGUAUCUGAUCACUAUGGUAAGACAUCGCAAUCAAACAGUACUUUCUAGAUGAAACACAAAAAUAACAAUAUGGCAACAACGAGGACCAUUUUGGUAUUGUUGUUCGACAUUUCUUUUACCCUUAUGACAUGCUUUUUAAGUAAAUCUUCUAUUUUUAUCUUUAACUCUGUGCCCUAUGAAUUAGUGUUAUGUAAAAAUGAAACGGAAGGAAUAUCAAUUUAGAAUGCAAUGAGACUAUAAUUGGUCGUUGAUACUGGUGCUUUAUAAUAUGUCUAUGCCAAGGAAGGAUCGGAACUUCUCUUCGUUAAUUCGUUAUUACUUUGAGAAUUCAGUUUAUAUUUGAGAAUAUGCUACUCCAUGUUCCAUUUUCAAAAACCAGUCCACAUCCAGAAGAAAGGCUAUAAUACUUGUCGCGCCCCAUUUUUUCGUGAAAGCGGGCUUCGACAUGUGACAACUCUUUUAAAAUGGGUAUUAAAAGAGAAGAGUCGUCACCUAACAAUUUUUAAGGUGCGUUAGGGGCACCUAUUUACAAGUAACUCUGUUUGACUAGUCAACGCCACCAAAGAUCGGGUAAGGGCUCAAAGUACCUUGGAGAGAAGGUGUUAGGCACUCUUCGAAAUCCACAACUGUGGGUCCAGGACAAAUUUUAAACUAAGUGGGAUGAAUGAAAACUAAAUUGCAAGUUAAUAAUUUAUAUUAAAUGAUGUGAGUCGUCUAUUAAUUAUUCUAAGUGAGAUAGGCAUGAAAAAGGAGAAAGAACAACUUCUAGCAAUAGGUAAAAGAAAGGAAGUUUUGUAUAAAAUGAAUCGCACAUAAAGCUGUAUGAGAAUAGUCAUUUAAAAAAUAUAUUAAGGGGUAAGAGGAAAUUUGGGCGAAAGCGAAAACGAGUUUUUAUUACUAAUAAAAAUAACCUUUACAUAGAAACAAUACAGAUUCAAGUAAUAGUAUAAAACUAUUGGAUACAAAAAGUAAAGCGUAACUAAUCCAGCAACAAACAUGAAUAUGAAUAAAUAGAGUAUGGCAUGAUUAUUUAGUAAAAGGGGAGCCUAAGUUUUUACACCUAAUGGAUCAACUCCCGUGCAAAGCUUGCUAAGACUUUUAUAGCCAAAAGUGUAAUGGCUAUUCAGGCAAUUUGUGUAUCAUGUCUGCUACCCUCAUUACUAUCUUUAAGUUGUUAACCUAAAAGCGCACUAAUCAAUUCUAAAUCACGUCUUAAUUCAAAACUACCCAUCCCUUCCUAUAGUCCAUGAGGCUUUGGACACUAUUCUAAAGAGAUGGUUCUAGACUUAAGAAAAAUCUCAUGUUUCUAUUUCUAUUCUUAUUAGCAUCACAUAAAAGGAGCACAUUGGGACUUACACAAGUAACACAUAAGGCAAGUAAGGGCUCAUGUUGGCCUCCGAAUUAAUUAAGUAAUUGUUAAUGUAGUAAAAAAUGGUCAAGUGUACUCUAAAAUAUGAUAAGUCUUCUUGAAUAAUACCCAUGAUAUAAGCAUACAUAUAAAGAAGUGAUUAGAUCUAAAGAAGUAAAAAAUAUGAAGCAAACGUUGGGCUAAAUUAAAACGAAUUUCUGAAUUAAUUAAAAGGAACAGAAAAAAAAGUGAAGGCUUAGAAGCUUCGGUCAAAGACAAAUGACAGUCUUUAUCUUUUAAAGUGAGCCCAACAUACUAGUAAGAAAACGUUACUAAGGACUAAGACACCACAAAAAGCUCAAAUGCAAAAGCUAUCCAAUUUAACGUGUUAACAUGUUUUCAAGAAGAAAUGAAAGCAAAUAACAGCAGGUAAUCACAUAGAACACAAGCAUGAAAUAUCCCUUAUCCCAAGUAGCCCCAUUUCACUAUUACAUUCAGUUAUUACAUGCUAUCUGAAUAGAGCUUAUAACUAGAGCCUAGGAAAUUAACUAACUGAACUUCAAACUUUGGCAGACUUCUCGUAGACUCUUAUGAGCUUUCCUAAUCCCCCUUCUGAAGAGUUGAACUUUGGCCAAAACUAUCAAGUCUAGGCCCCUGCAACCGAACAGAAGCAACAAACGCACAAAGAAAGCAGACAACUUGGACUAUUUUCCAAAGAAACAACUUUGUUAUUAUUAGUUAAAGCAUUAUCUUCUAAACACAUAAUCUAUAGGUGAAUAUGUCCAAGUUAAACCAAGUCAAGGAAAAAAACAACACUAGAAACUUCAAAUUUGACACAGAAGCAUGAAUGAAUGGCGUAGGUCCUAAAAAUAUGAUAUUUAAGUGAUUGAAUUGAACUCAAACAUCCCAGCUUGUAGUAUUCAAUAGCAAAUAAGUUUUGUUAAGCAUAAAGUCAUGAUAUAAAAAUGAUCAAAAUCCUAAUAACAUGGUAGCUAUUUAGGAUAAGUCUAACAGUGAGAAAAUAGGCAAAUACAAGUCAUGACUUUCAAGCAAGAAAAAUCCUGGAGUUCAUUGUUAAGCAUUGAAAUCCCAAGCAUUAGACAUCAAGCUAACUUCCUUAGGUCUAGACAAUGGUUAUUAGGUGAUCGACAUGAUCACACUAUCUCAUUCAAGGAUAUUGCAAGACGUGAUGUCAAUUCAAAUUCAUAUAGUUAGACCUAAGAGGUGACUUCUAAUGUAUAGCGAAUCAGAGAACCAUACGGGAGGCACAACACAUAGCGAUUAAGUGACGUACCUGGUUAUUAACUUGGCAUGCUCGAAAUGGAAUGUCGCACAACAUUCAGCAUGUCCAAGUGCAAAUACAACGCGCAAAUAGAAUAAAAUACAUGAAAAUUUUAAGAGAGCAGAGGACAAAAAAACUAGUCUAUUCUACCAUAUAAUUAACACAUAAAGAAAUUAUGAUGCGUCGUUCAGGGAACUAACCAGUUGGAGAGCGGAAUAACAAUAUAAUAUGAAGAUUAAAAAUCCAGUAACUUCAACAGCAACAAAUAAGCCAGAUACUCUCCAAAGUAUGCAGUAAUACGUGCGAAAAUUCAAACAGCAAUAAGGAGAAACCAAUACUCGAACUCGAUACAUCCAGAUUGUAUCAAACUAAUUAAAAAAACCAAGCCUUGCCUUGGCUUAUGGUCGGCAAAGCAUAGAAGUAGCGAAAAGAAAAAAAACUAGCAGUGAAGCAGAGGUCAAAGCAGUGAUCAAAAGCCAGUUCUCUGAAGCGUGUAAUUGUGAGCUAUAUACAGAUGUAAGGUAUGGAAGUAUAAUAUGUGAGUUGCAGCGAUAAACAAAGCCUCUCCCACUAAACAAUNNNN